AUGGACGAGUCCGGGGACGCCGGCAGGGGAGGGAGGGGCGGCGGGAGGUCGAGGCAGAAUGGGGGCCGCUCGUCGGUUCGGCUCGGCGUGCGGAUGGAGUUCAGGUUCUCCGGCUUCCACGCCGUUCAGGUACCAGUAGUAUCAGACAGGCUGCUCAUUACAAUCACGUCAGUAGACAGUGGAAAAACAAUUGCCAAGUCAAGUAAAGCGGCUGCUAUUAAUGGAGCCUGUCAAUGGCAUGACUCCAUCCUGCAAGCAAUUCGGUUUCCUAAAGAUGAAGUGUCACACGAAUUUCAGGAGUGCCAGUGCAAGAUUGUUGUUUCCAUGGCAUCAACAAGAACUGCUGUUCUUGGGGAAGCGUACCUAAAUCUGACGAACUAUCUCAGUUCAUCAGACUCCACUGACAUCUCUUUGCCAUUGGACAAGUGCAAUUCUGGCACAGUUUUACAGCUUAAGAUUCAAUGUCUUGGUGCAAAAUCUAAAUCAAGUGGGAAAUCAUGGAAAGAGCUAUCUUCUAAUCUUAAGGAGAGUCCAACCAAUGAUGAGAUGGACAAAAAGCCAGACGUCUUUGACAUUCUGUUGAAGUUGAACAAGGGUGCUCAGUCUUUGUCAGAAAAUAAUUUAGAAGCUGAUAAUGCAGAUGAAUCUGGAAAUAGGGAUGCAAGUUUCUCAGCAUCAAAGUCUCAUGGUGAUGAUUCAUCCAAAAAUCACCUUGACACCGCCGAAGAAAAACUUGAGGAAUUACGUAACGCGGCAAAAAUGUGGGAGAGACAUUCUCGCAAGUUGAAAAUUGAACGGAAGACAUUGAAGAAUGAGUGUGCUGACAAAUCCAAGCAACAGGCUGAGCUAGAACGGCAACUUUCUGCUUCACUUUCUGAACAGGAUUCCUUGAGGCAAGAAAUUGAACAAGUAACAGCCCAACUGAACAAGACCCAAGAGACCAAUAUAGAGCUUGUUUCCAUUCUCCAAGAACUGGAAGAAACGAUAGAACUGCAGAGAGUGGAAAUGUCCAAACUUCCCCAAGUGAGUGAUGUGGCUGACCACGAGGUCUCCAAAAGUGAAUCGACAGUUCAAGAAGCUGCAGAAUGGGCUAGAAUACUGUCACAAAAAGAAGAUGAAAUCACAGUGUUGAGGGAGAAACUGAACCGUGUUCUCAAAAUGGAGAAUGCAGAUGGUGCAGGCCCAGAUGCUAUUUAUCUUGAAUUGGAAAAAGAAAAUGAUUUUUUGAAGGUCAAAAUGCAGGAGCUUGAGAAUGACUGUUCUGAAUUAACGGAGGAAAAUUUCAGGCUUAUAUACAAGUUGAAAGAAGCGAGUGGGGUGGCGAAAGAAGAGGAUCCCUGCAUUUCUAAUAGUGAAGAAAUGCCCAAUGUGGGGAGCCCAACAUAUAAGAUAAAACACCUAGAGAGAAAAUGUGCUGACCUUGAGUUGAAUCUGGAGAAUUUUAGGUCCGAGUUCAGUGGGCUAGAAGAGAAGUUCCAGAAAAGCCAAGAGGAGUUAAAAGAGAGAACACUUGAAUUAUCUGAGCUGAGGGAAAAGCUCUCCCAUGCCACUGAACUGGAGGGGGCUGACACUGGUAGUUCAAAACAUUACAGACUGAGAAGUGAAGAACCUGAUGAUACUGAAACUGACUUAGAUGUGUUGAAGCGUACAGUUCAGCUGAAAGAACAAGAGAUCGAUGGUUUGCAACACUAUACGAGAGAAAUGGAGAACACCAUUGCUGAUAUUCAGAAAGAGAAGAGUCAGUUAGAGGAACGUUUGGCAGCAUCACUUGAAGAAAGUAGCAUGACUUCAAAAUGCUUGGAUGAAGCGCGUGAAAAUCUCCGUGUGCUUACCAGCAGUGUAGAUUCCCAUGUUUCUGCCAAUGAGGUUCUCGAAACAAAGAUCAGUGAGCUUGUGCGCACAGUUAUGCUGAAAGAACAGGAGAUCGAUGCGCGGGAAGAUCUCCUUGUGCUUAGCAGCAGUGUAGAUUCCCAUGUUUCUGCCAAUGGGGUUCUCGAAACAAAGAUCAAUGAGCUUGUGCGUACAGUUAUGCUGAAAGAACAGGAGAUCAAUGGUCUGCAACAUUGUACGACAGAAAUGGAGAACACUAUUUCUGAUAUUCAGAAGGAGAAGGAUCAGCUAGAGGAACGUCUGGCAGCAUCACUUGAAGAAAGUAGCAUGACAUCAAAAUGCUUGGAUGAAGCGCGAGAAGAUCUCCUUGUGCUUACCAGUAGCGUAGAUUCUCAUGCUUCUGCCAAUAAGGUUCUCGAAACAAAGAUUAGCGAGCUUGAAAGCCGCAAAGUUGAACUAGAGUUGCUUGUAACAAAGCUGGAACAAGAGAAUAUUGAGUUUUCCGAGUUCAUAUCUGAACUAGAGGCUCAGUUGACUUCUCUCACAAGUGAAGAGGAGUCAACCAGGCUAGAAAUGGAUUAUUCUAUAGCACUUAUCGCAAAUCUUAAGGAUUUAGUAGAACAGCAGCAAGCAGAGAUGGAAGCUCAAAAGCUGGAAAUGAAGCAAAAGCAUUUGGAGUCCCAAACUAGAUUGUCAGAAGUACAAGAGGAUUCGGAGGCUCUAAGAAGAUCAAAUGCAAAACUACAGGCCACAAUUGAUAGUGUUGCUGAAGAAUGCAGUUCUCUUCAGACUCUAACAACUGACCUAAAGAAGCAGAAGCUGGAAUUACAUGACCAUUGUGCACAGCUGGAGCAGCAAUUAGAUCAAUCAAAAAGGAAGACAAUGGAUUUGUUCGAAACAGCAGAGUUCCUAGAGGCAAAACUCUCUACACUUCAAAAAGAGGUAACUUUAAAAGAGCAAUCUUUGCUUUCAGAGCUGGAGAAUAUAUUCCAGGAGCACAAGGAACACGAAGAAAGGAUAAAUAGUGCACAUUUCCUUUUACACAAGAUAGAGAACGAAAAGAUUGGUGAAGUGAAGAAUCUUGAGAGGGAGGUCAUGAACCUUACUGCACAGCUGUCCUCCACAGACGGGGAGAAAGAAAGUGCCGCCUUGGAUAGCAUACAUGAGGUCUCCAUCCUGCGAGCAGACAAGGCUAAACUUGAGGCUAACCUUGAAGAUGUCAGUGCACAAAUGAGACAUUAUCAGUCUCAGUUGGAAGAUCUUCGUACAGAGUCUAAAACCAAAAUUAAAGGCCUGAUUGAUUCGCUUAACGCAUCCAAACAUAAUGAGGAAACGCUGACAACAGAUGUUGAGCAUAUGACAAGAUUGAUGGAAGCUGCUAGAUCCAAUGAAGAAAACUUAAGGAAAACUUCAGACGAACUAGAGUUGAAGUAUAAAUCCAGUGAUUAUGAGAAACAGGAAGUAAUGGAGGAAAUUUCUGGACUAAAAAUCCAGGUUAGCAAAAUGGCAAGCAUCCAAGAUGAAGUUUUCAAACUACAAAGUUCUCUUGAUCAGGCUAAGUUUGAAAAGACAAAAUUAGAAGAGCGUCUGCAGUCACUAUCUGAAGAAUGUGAAGAACUAAAGGUGCAGAAUGCCAUGUUAACAGACAAAGUCUCUUGUAUCCAGAGUACUUUGCAUGAUGCUGAUGAAGAAAAUCGUCAUAAAUCCACUCAAGCAAAGCUUGUAGUAAAUAAGGGUAAUGACGACGCUGCUAAUGACAAUGGAGGUACUCAUGUUAAUGAAGAUCUAGACAUUCACUCAAAGCUAGAAUUACUGGAGACUAGACUUGCUGAUGCAUUGGAGGAAAAUAAAUCAUAUAGGGCGCAGCUGCAAAGGACAUAUUUUGUCGACGUCGGAGGGUACCGGCAUUCCCAGACAACCACCGUGCAAGAGCUGAGUAAUUCCAAGCAAGUGCAGAACUGGAUAUGUGCUCUGAGCUGCACCGGAAGCUGUGCCCCCAAAAGAAUAAAAUGCUCAUGGUUCUCACUUCUCAGGUCUCAGUGA
This 3873-nucleotide ribosomal RNA is filed under the name Triticum aestivum (bread wheat). Its description in RNAcentral is "partial small subunit ribosomal RNA". The record is from RNAcentral. Lineage: Eukaryota; Viridiplantae; Streptophyta; Magnoliopsida; Poales; Poaceae.